AGUCAUCUGUAGUGUUCGUAAGUUGCUUUUUAAUUUGGGCCUAACACUCUUUGAUCAGGGAGCCCAAUAGGUUUUCUCAUAGCGCACACGCCUCAAUUAGGAGGACUUGCAAAAUGAGAAACAGGGCACCCACCUGUAUUUAGCAGGCCGAAUGAUCAAGCUAUUAUAACUACGACAUAAACGGACUCUAU
This 191-nucleotide non-coding RNA is filed under the name Staphylococcus arlettae. RNAcentral's name for it is "6S RNA". It matches the Rfam family "6S / SsrS RNA". From Rfam's summary of the family: E. coli 6S RNA was the first non coding RNA to be sequenced, but its function was unknown until recently. It consists of 184 nucleotides that fold into an extended hairpin structure with a large single-stranded internal bulge. Lineage: Bacteria; Bacillati; Bacillota; Bacilli; Caryophanales; Staphylococcaceae. The record is from RNAcentral. RNAcentral also lists the same sequence under 1 other name.